GUGGCGUAGCGGCAACGCGCCUGUCUAGUGAGUAGGAGUCGUGAGUUCGAGUCUCACC
This is a non-coding RNA of Aedes albopictus (Asian tiger mosquito), 58 nucleotides long. The record is from Rfam. Lineage: Eukaryota; Metazoa; Arthropoda; Insecta; Diptera; Culicidae.